This 610-nucleotide ribosomal RNA is filed under the name Limnobacter sp. RNAcentral's name for it is "bacterial SSU rRNA". It matches the Rfam family "Bacterial small subunit ribosomal RNA", at positions 32 to 638 of the family's 1533-position model. Lineage: Bacteria; Pseudomonadati; Pseudomonadota; Betaproteobacteria; Burkholderiales; Burkholderiaceae. The record is from RNAcentral.
GGCCUUGGCCGGCUGCCUUAACAUGCAAGUCGAACGGUAACAGGGAGCUUGCUCCGCUGACGAGUGGCGAACGGGUGAGUAAUACAUCGGAACGUGCCCAGUAAUGGGGGAUAGCUCGGCGAAAGCCGGAUUAAUACCGCAUACGCCCUGAGGGGGAAAGUGGGGGACCGCAAGGCCUCACGUUAUUGGAGCGGCCGAUGGCUGAUUAGCUAGUUGGUAGGGUAAAGGCCUACCAAGGCGACGAUCAGUAGCUGGUCUGAGAGGACGAUCAGCCACACUGGGACUGAGACACGGCCCAGACUCCUACGGGAGGCAGCAGUGGGGAAUUUUGGACAAUGGGGGAAACCCUGAUCCAGCAAUGCCGCGUGUGCGAAGAAGGCCUUCGGGUUGUAAAGCACUUUUGUCAGGGAAGAAAUCCUUUGGGCUAAUACCCUAGGGGGAUGACGGUACCUGAAGAAUAAGCACCGGCUAACUACGUGCCAGCAGCCGCGGUAAUACGUAGGGUGCAAGCGUUAAUCGGAAUUACUGGGCGUAAAGCGUGCGCAGGCGGUUGUGUAAGACAGGUGUGAAAUCCCCGGGCUUAACCUGGGAAUUGCAUUUGUGACUGCAC